RNAcentral lists this long non-coding RNA (253 nucleotides) under Musa acuminata (dwarf banana). RNAcentral describes it as "long non-coding RNA (MACU_LNC009808)". The record is from RNAcentral. Lineage: Eukaryota; Viridiplantae; Streptophyta; Magnoliopsida; Zingiberales; Musaceae.
ACAACUGGACUAAACAGACUCAAUAAACAUUAUUCAAAAGCUUAGAAAAAGGGUCCUAACAGUUCCUCCCUCUUCAAAUCAACCUUGUCCUCAAGGCUGAGCAGCAUCAAUCUCAGGGAGCUUCUCUUUCAGCACUUUAGCCAUAGACUAUCUGCAACGCAUCACAACCUGUUGAUCAAGUAAGUAUGGUCUCCACUUUUUGAGAGUGUAAGCAACAGGUCGAUCUUGCAGUGUAGUAAUUGUUGCAUGAAAC